RNAcentral lists this ribosomal RNA (497 nucleotides) under uncultured bacterium. Its description in RNAcentral is "partial 16S ribosomal RNA". It matches the Rfam family "Bacterial small subunit ribosomal RNA", at positions 28 to 507 of the family's 1533-position model. The record is from RNAcentral.
GAUGAACGCUGGCGGCGUGCCUAAUACAUGCCAGUCGAGCGAACAGACGAGGAGCUUGCUCCUCUGACGUUAGCGGCGGACGGGUGAGUAACACGUGGAUAACCUACCUAUAAGACUGGGAUAACUUCGGGAAACCGGAGCUAAUACCGGAUAAUAUAUUGAACCGCAUGGUUCAAUAGUGAAAGACGGUUUUGCUGUCACUUAUAGAUGGAUCCGCGCCGCAUUAGCUAGUUGGUAAGGUAACGGCUUACCAAGGCGACGAUGCGUAGCUGACCUGAGAGGGUGAUCGGCCACACUGGAACUGAGACACGGUCCAGACUCCUACGGGAGGCAGCAGUAGGGAAUCUUCCGCAAUGGGCGAAAGCUUGACGGAGCAACGCCGCGUGAGUGAUGAAGGUCUUCGGAUCGUAAAACUCUGUUAUUAGGGAAGAACAAAUGUGUAAGUAACUAUGCACGUCUUGACGGUACCUAAUCAGAAAGCCACGGCUAACUACGUG